UGGGGAAUAUUGCACAAUGGGCGCAAGCCUGAUGCAGCCAUGCCGCGUGUAUGAAGAAGGCCUUCGGGUUGUAAAGUACUUUCAGCGGGGAGGAAGGGAGUAAAGUUAAUACCUUUGCUCAUUGACGUUACCCGCAGAAGAAGCACCGGCUAACUCCGUUCCAGCAGCCGCGGUAAUACGGAGGGUGCAAGCGUUAAUCGGAAUUACUUGGCGUAAAGCGCACGCAGGCGGUUUGUUAAGUCAGAUGUGAAAUCCCCGGGCUCAACCUGGGAACUGCAUCUGAUACUGGCAAGCUUGAGUCUCGUAGAGGGGGGUAGAAUUCCAGGUGUAGCGGUGAAAUGCGUAGAGAUCUGGAGGAAUACCGGUGGCGAAGGCGGCCCCCUGGACGAAGACUGACGCUCAGGUGCGAAAGCGUGGGGAGCAAACAGG
RNAcentral lists this ribosomal RNA (429 nucleotides) under Chloroflexota bacterium. RNAcentral's name for it is "Chloroflexi bacterium partial 16S ribosomal RNA". It matches the Rfam family "Bacterial small subunit ribosomal RNA", at positions 355 to 776 of the family's 1533-position model. Lineage: Bacteria; Bacillati; Chloroflexota. The record is from RNAcentral.